GUGGAACACUCUUGGUGAGUG
Molecule: small nuclear RNA, 21 nt
Filed under: Arabidopsis thaliana (thale cress)
Lineage: Eukaryota; Viridiplantae; Streptophyta; Magnoliopsida; Brassicales; Brassicaceae
Description: snRNA_14084
Source: RNAcentral